UACCGUUUGAAGGAAUAAGCUCCAUAAGAUUCGGAAUUUCGUCUUUUAUUACUCUGUGAUAUUAAGAUGAACCUCGAGGUACCUUCUGUGCUCCCACACAUGCUUCUAAUCUUUUGUCGCGUGUGUGGUGCAUGGUUUGGCUACUCGUGCUCUAGGGUGUGGAACAUUGUGUUGCUAAGCGAUCUUCUGAUUGCUUUGGCCAAAAAAAUAGUCCAUUGUUGGAACGAUUAUCAUGAU
Molecule: unclassified non-coding RNA, 237 nt
Filed under: Myrsine sandwicensis
Lineage: Eukaryota; Viridiplantae; Streptophyta; Magnoliopsida; Ericales; Primulaceae
Description: partial external transcribed spacer
Source: RNAcentral